This 544-nucleotide ribosomal RNA is filed under the name uncultured bacterium. RNAcentral's name for it is "bacterial SSU rRNA". It matches the Rfam family "Bacterial small subunit ribosomal RNA", at positions 355 to 914 of the family's 1533-position model. The record is from RNAcentral.
UGGGGAAUCUUGGACAAUGGGGGCAACCCUGAUCCAGCCAUGCCGCGUGAGUGAUGAAGGCCUUAGGGUCGUAAAGCUCUUUCGCCUGUGAAGAUAAUGACGGUAGCAGGUAAAGAAACCCCGGCUAACUCCGUGCCAGCAGCCGCGGUAAUACGGAGGGGGUUAGCGUUGUUCGGAAUUACUGGGCGUAAAGCGCACGUAGGCGGACCAGAAAGUUGGGGGUGAAAUCCCGGGGGCUCAACCCCGGAACUGCCUCCAAAACUAUUGGUCUAGAGUUCGAGAGAGGUGAGUGGAAUUCCAAGUGUAGAGGUGAAAAUUCGUAGAUAUUUGGAGGAACACCAGUGGCGAAGGCGGCUCACUGGCUCGAUACUGACGCUGAGGUGCGAAAGUGUGGGGAGCAAACAGGAUUAGAUACCCUGGUAGUCCACACCGUAAAACGAUGAAUGCCAGUCGUCGGGUAGCAUGCUAUUCGGUGACACACCUAACGGAUUAAGCAUUCCGCCUGGGGAGUACGGUCGCAAGAUUAAAACUCAAAGGAAUUGAC